Molecule: transfer RNA, 74 nt
Filed under: Corynebacterium incognitum
Lineage: Bacteria; Bacillati; Actinomycetota; Actinomycetes; Mycobacteriales; Corynebacteriaceae
Description: Corynebacterium sp. Marseille-Q3630 tRNA-Gln
Rfam family: tRNA
About the family: Transfer RNA (tRNA) molecules are approximately 80 nucleotides in length. Their secondary structure includes four short double-helical elements and three loops (D, anti-codon, and T loops).
Source: RNAcentral
UCCCCUCUAGUGUAAUGGCAGCACGCGACGUUUUGGCCGUCGUAGCAUUGGUUCGAAUCCAGUGUGGGGAGCCA